AAUGCAGAGAGUCUUGUUCUCGGUGCACCUCAAAUGACGUCUGUACAUCAUGUACAUCGGGACAUUAUGGAUCUUACUGUCAGCACAUAUGUUCAGACGGGUGUAUAAAUGGUGAAUGUAAUAACAACGAUGGAUCGUGUUUGUGCAAAUCUGGCUUUGCGGGAAGUCAAUGCGAUGAAUGCGCGACUGGCAGGCAUGGCGAUCAUUGUGACAAACAUUGUUCCGGUGCUUGCAAAGACUUGCGAUGUAAUACAGGUACGGGACAUUGCUUAGAAUGUAAAGCAGUAAAUAUUACAGGAGAUUUCUGUGAAAUAUGCGUGGAAGGUAUGUGGGGUACAGAUUGUUCAUCAACAUGUCCAGAAAAUUGUGAUGGACAAUGUUUAAGGAAAUCUGGGUACUGUAAAUCAUGUGAAGCAAAUUUCCAAGGCAAUUUAUGUGACGAAUGUUCUGCGGGGUAUCAUGGUGAGAUGUGCGAUAAGGUCUGUCCUGGACGGUGUUAUGUUUCUUAUUGUUUUCCCUCCAACGGAACAUGUAGAACAUGUAAUCAAAACUAUGCCGGACCAUCUUGCGAAGACUGUGCCGCUGGCAUGUAUGGUCA
This 598-nucleotide small RNA is filed under the name Spisula solidissima (Atlantic surf clam). RNAcentral's name for it is "cnRNA313". The record is from RNAcentral. Lineage: Eukaryota; Metazoa; Mollusca; Bivalvia; Venerida; Mactridae.